CCUCCUGCUAGUGGACGCCCAUGGCACCCUACCAUAUCUGUUUUCAGGAGCUUUGGGUUUCAGGCUGCAUCUAAGAGUUCCAUUGAUGCCAGUUUGGGAAUUAAGGAUAAAAUGAUUGUCUUUAGGUCAGCUGACCAAUGCUUAGAAGCCCUCAGUGGAAUCUGAAGAUACUCUAGAGUUGAUUUGGUUGUCAGAUUGGACAACAAAACACUUUUUGACAUGCCAGGUGGGGAUGGAAUGGCUAAAGGUUUGAGACCGGCCGUCUCUCUUCUUCGCACCACCUUCUCUUGUGUUGCUUGAAUCAUCAAAUGAACAUCAGGGAUUAGAAGCCUUCCCAGGGCAUAGCUUGAAAAGUAUACUCAUUUCAAAGUUUUCAACAUCAUUUCAUCCUUUGAUUUUUAAACUGAUCAUUUUGCGUUGGGUGUGAUCAGAAAAGCCCAACCGCUUCCUCUUCUUAUUUUCAAGAAUUGUACAGAGCAUCAAAUUGUAGUCAUCAGACUAGAAUUAAGCCUCUGAUUUCCUUUCAAGGAGGCAAAAAUUUCACACUUUUCUGCAUGCAAUUCAGUUUCUUGGUAGUGUAUAAUGUUACAGUUCAAUGAGUUGCUAAUUAAGCCCAAUUGUAGAACAAAGGACAAUCUGCCAUCUCACUCAAGGAGUUCAAUCGGAACUUUUAAAAUGCUAUACUUAAAAAGGAAUCCGCUCUGCCUAAUUUGGCUUGUGGCUUAUGUGUUCCAUAUUUGAUGCUUUUUUUGGAUUUUAGAAUCUCUUCCAGGGACUGCAAGGACCCCAUGCAAGCUUAUCAAGAGUUUUCAGAGCCUGGAAAAUUUCCUUUUUUGUGUAACAACAUUACUAUUUGGGAAGAAGGUUGAUUUCUCAAAUCUGGCAUUUCCUAUUUAAGAAAACCAAGAAAGACAAGAAGCUUAGCUCAAACACAACUGACCCUCCUGGUGCAAUGCACAACCAUGAGAGAUGUGUGCACACUCUUGUGUCACAUUGAUCACAUAGGAUAUUCUCUCACAGGAUGGCCAGACUGAUUCUCUUACAGAAACGAUGAGGAGCUCCCCUUGUGCUACCUAGGGCCAAAUGUGAUUUUCAAUCCAGAGGUUACUGGAAGGCCAUGAGCCCAAAAGAACUGGAAGGCCACCUCUGAAGUAUCUUAAUACUGAUCCCUGGAACUGUUGACAUUAACCCUGUGCAUGGCAAAGGUUCAUCUCAGUGACAAUCUUGGUCUCAUAAAUACAUAACCAUUCUCAGCUACCACAUCAGGAGCAUCACUUUUAUGGUACACCAGGUGCCUCACAUCAAGGUGGGCUACAAGAUUUUUGGAGUGGUUCAAGCAUUGCCACCUUCAGUGGGCCUCUCAAUCUGGAUGAAGCAGGACAUAAAAAUUGAGCAUUUUUCUUUAGGCUGCUUCUCAUUCUUCUGGAUACUCUAUACAAGUCAGAGAUGAUAGUUCCUUCAGGAUGGUGGAAUCAUCACUCUUCUUGGAGGUCUGAAAAAAAUUGGCAAACCAGCUACCUUCUUUGGCCAACCAUGGCACAUAGCAUACAAAAUUGGACAUUAUAUAACUGAGAUAAACAAACUUUGGUUGCUAAGUCUUGC
This is a non-coding RNA of Pogona vitticeps (central bearded dragon), 1602 nucleotides long. NCBI's taxonomy places the organism in Eukaryota, Metazoa, Chordata, Lepidosauria, Squamata, Agamidae. The record is from RefSeq and is a predicted model, not a curated record.